AUUGAACGCUGGCGGCAGGCCUAACACAUGCAAGUCGGGCGGAUGAAGGGAGCUUGCUCCUGGAUUCAGCGGCGGACGGGUGAGUAAUGCCUAGGAAUCUGCCUGGUAGUGGGGGAUAACGUCCGGAAACGGGCGCUAAUACCUCAUACGUCCUGAGGGAGAAAGUGGGGGAUCUUCGGACCUCACGCUAUCAGAUGAGCCUAGGUCGGAUUAGCUAGUUGGUGGGGUAAAGGCCUACCAAGGCGACGAUCCGUAACUGGUCUGAGAGGAUGAUCAGUCACACUGGAACUGAGACACGGUCCAGACUCCUACGGGAGGCAGCAGUGGGGAAUAUUAGACAAUGGGCGAAAGCCUGAUCCAGCCAUGCCGCGUGUGUGAAGAAGGUCUUCGGAUUGUAAAGCACUUUAAGUUGGGAGGAAGGGCAGUAAGUUAAUACCUUGCUGUUUUGACGUUACCAACAGAAUAAGCACCGGCUAACUUCGUG
Molecule: ribosomal RNA, 484 nt
Filed under: uncultured bacterium
Lineage: Bacteria
Description: partial 16S ribosomal RNA
Rfam family: Bacterial small subunit ribosomal RNA
Source: RNAcentral